GGCCUGGCUGGCCGGUCCGCCUCACCGCGUGUCACUGGUCCGGCCGGGCCUUUCCUCCUGUGGAACCCCGGGCCCUUCACUGGGCACGGCGGGAAAACAGGACAUUUACUUUGAAAAAAUUAGAGUGCUCCAGGCAGGCCUACGCUCGAAUACAUUAGCAUGGAAUAAUAAAAUAGGACGCGCCGUUCUAUUUUGUUGGUUUACGGACGGCCGUA
Molecule: ribosomal RNA, 215 nt
Filed under: uncultured fungus
Lineage: Eukaryota; Fungi
Description: partial small subunit ribosomal RNA
Source: RNAcentral